AUCCGACUCGUGUUCGAUCCAUUAUAAAUAGAUUUAGAUUGGUGCUAAAUAGGUUUAGAUUAUAAACAGGUUGAUCCAUUUAAUCAGAUUAAUGUUUGGAUCAAAUUUGGAUUUUAGAUAUUUGAUCCGUUUAAUCUGUUUAAUAUUCAAAUCGGAUUGAGUCCAAUAAUUCAUUUAACUUAUUUAGCCUGUUUAACCUAUUUUUGAUCCAUUUAAUCCAACCUGUUUUACCCGUUUAAGAUCUAUUUAACCUGUUUAAAAUCUAUUUAAUCUAUUUCUG
This 280-nucleotide long non-coding RNA is filed under the name Elaeis guineensis (African oil palm). RNAcentral's name for it is "long non-coding RNA (EGUI_LNC001140)". The record is from RNAcentral. Lineage: Eukaryota; Viridiplantae; Streptophyta; Magnoliopsida; Arecales; Arecaceae.